Molecule: ribosomal RNA, 261 nt
Filed under: uncultured archaeon
Lineage: Archaea
Description: partial 16S ribosomal RNA
Rfam family: Archaeal small subunit ribosomal RNA
Source: RNAcentral
AGUACUGACAUUAGAUACCCCGGUAGUCCAGGGUGUAAACGCUGCAGACUUGGUGUUGGAAGUCCUUUGGGGGCAUUCAGUGCCGGAGAGAAGUUGUUAAGUCUGCUACUUGGGAGUACGUCCGCAAGGAUGAAACUUAAAGGAAUUGGCGGGGAGCACCGCAACGGGAGGAGCGUGCGGUUUAAUUGGAUUCAACACCGUAAACUCACCAGGGAAGACUGUUACAUGAAAGCCGAGAUGAAGACUCUGCUAGAUUUUCAG